Picea glauca (white spruce) is the source of this 121-nucleotide non-coding RNA. The record is from Rfam. Lineage: Eukaryota; Viridiplantae; Streptophyta; Pinopsida; Pinales; Pinaceae.
ACAUGCCUACAAAAUGGUUUUAAUGCAUCAGAUCCCAUUAGAAUUCCACAGUUAAGCACACUUGGGCUAGAGUAGUACUGGGAUGGGUGACUGCCCAGGAAGUCCUAGCGUUUUACAUGCU